RNAcentral lists this ribosomal RNA (429 nucleotides) under Acidobacteriota bacterium. RNAcentral describes it as "Acidobacteria bacterium partial 16S ribosomal RNA". It matches the Rfam family "Bacterial small subunit ribosomal RNA", at positions 355 to 776 of the family's 1533-position model. The record is from RNAcentral. Lineage: Bacteria; Pseudomonadati; Acidobacteriota.
UAGGGAAUCUUCGGCAAUGGACGAAAGUCUGACCGAGCAACGCCGCGUGAGUGAAGAAGGUUUUCGGAUCGUAAAACUCUGUUGUUAGAGAAGAACAAGGACGUUAGUAACUGAACGUCCCCUGACGGUAUCUAACCAGAAAGCCACGGCUAACUACGUGCCAGCAGCCGCGGUAAUACGUAGGUGGCAAGCGUUGUCCGGAUUUAUUGGGCGUAAAGCGAGCGCAGGCGGUUUCUUAAGUCUGAUGUGAAAGCCCCCGGCUCAACCGGGGAGGGUCAUUGGAAACUGGGAGAAAUGAGUGCAGAAGAGGAGAGUGGAAUUCCAUGUGUAGCGGUGAAAUGCGUAGAUAUAUGGAGGAACACCAGUGGCGAAGGCGGCUCUCUGGUCUGUAACUGACGCUGAGGCUCGAAAGCGUGGGGAGCAAACAGG